Molecule: small nucleolar RNA, 134 nt
Organism: Galleria mellonella (greater wax moth)
Lineage: Eukaryota; Metazoa; Arthropoda; Insecta; Lepidoptera; Pyralidae
Source: RefSeq, a predicted model, not a curated record
UUAAGGCCCAUUCGAAGCUGAGCGCGGUCCAUAUAUCACGUUUCAGUCAAACUGUGGCCGACAGCGAACUUUGCCGAUAUGGUCGCACGUGCGUGCUGUACGCAAACGGUGCAUUACCCACGGCAAAUACAAAA